Monopterus albus (swamp eel) is the source of this 548-nucleotide long non-coding RNA. RefSeq lists it as uncharacterized. Lineage: Eukaryota; Metazoa; Chordata; Actinopteri; Synbranchiformes; Synbranchidae. The transcript is spliced from 5 exons. The record is from RefSeq and is a predicted model, not a curated record.
GGGUUCCUGUGGAGAAGGACAACAAGCAGCACUGCUGGCACUUCUCCGCGGUGGAUUACGAGGUUGGGGCGGCCCUCGUUCUCAGGCCUGAUGAUGAAGACCUGAUUGAAAUCACAGCGGUUCCAUUGGCCGACCUCAUGGAACAAACUGGAGCUCAUUGGAACCAUUGUCAUGGGGAACCCUUAUGAUCCUGAUCCUCCAAACGGCCAAAAACAAGGCAUCCAUGGCUCUGGGGUUCUUUCUUAAAGCUGCAAAGAAACCCGACUUUCCAUCCAGUGCAUGUUCAAGAGUGAGUGGGGACAGUGGACCUGAGACUGUGGAUGUUGGAGGCUGCGGUAAGGGAAGCUUCAGGGAGAAGUGUCCCCAACCAAAGAACAUCUUAAACCUCCCUCCAGUACAAGAUGAUCUUGACAGUGAGGGAUGGAAAACAGGAAGUCAGUCAUGUCAACCCUCAUGAGGACAUUGAGGCCCACUCCUCAUCUGAGUCGCUGAUGUCAUCAUCAUCGAUGUCCCAGUCGGGCCGCUGGUACUCGCUGGUUUGGGUGAAG